GACGAACGCUGGCGGCGUGCCUAAUACAUGCAAGUUGAGCGAUGAAGAUUGGUGCUUGCACCAAUUUGAAGAGCAGCGAACGGGUGAGUAACGCGUGGGGAAUCUGCCUUUGAGCGGGGGACAACAUUUGGAAACGAAUGCUAAUACCGCAUAAUAACUUUAAACAUAAGUUUUAAGUUUGAAAGAUGCAAUUGCAUCACUCAAACAUGAACCCGCGUUGUAUUAGCUAGUUGGUGAGGUAAAGGCUCCCCAAGGCGAUGAUACAUAGCCGACCUGAGAGGGUGAUCGGCCACAUUGGGACUGAGACACGGCCCAAACUCCUACGGGAGGCAGCAGUAGGGAAUCUUCGGCAAUGGACGAAAGUCUGACCGAGCAACGCCGCAUGAGUGAAGAAGGUUUUCGGAUCGUAAAACUCUGUUGGUAGAGAAGAACGUUGGUGAGAGUGGAAAGCUCAUCAAGUGACGGUAACUACCCAGAAAGGGACGGCUAACUACGUG
Molecule: ribosomal RNA, 497 nt
Filed under: uncultured bacterium
Lineage: Bacteria
Description: partial 16S ribosomal RNA
Rfam family: Bacterial small subunit ribosomal RNA
Source: RNAcentral